UCAGUCGACUCCUACGGGAGGCAGCAGUGGGGAAUCUUGGACAAUGGGCGCAAGCCUGAUCCAGCCAUGCCGCGUGAGUGAUGAAGGCCCUAGGGUCGUAAAGCUCUUUCGCCAGGGAUGAUAAUGACAGUACCUGGUAAAGAAACCCCGGCUAACUCCGUGCCAGCAGCCGCGGUAAUACGGAGGGGUUAGCGUUGUUCGGAAUUACUGGGCGUAAAGCGCGCGUAGGCGGAUUAGUCAGUUAGAGGUGAAAUCCCAGGGCUCAACCCUGGAACUGCCUUUAAUACUGCUAGUCUUGAGUUCGAGAGAGGUGAGUGGAAUUCCGAGUGUAGAGGUGAAAUUCGUAGAUAUUCGGAGGAACACCAGUGGCGAAGGCGGCUCACUGGCUCGAUACUGACGCUGAGGUGCGAAAGUGUGGGGAGCAAACAGGAUUAGAUACCCUGGUAG
This 447-nucleotide ribosomal RNA is filed under the name uncultured bacterium. RNAcentral describes it as "bacterial SSU rRNA". It matches the Rfam family "Bacterial small subunit ribosomal RNA", at positions 328 to 793 of the family's 1533-position model. The record is from RNAcentral.